RNAcentral lists this ribosomal RNA (305 nucleotides) under uncultured bacterium. RNAcentral's name for it is "bacterial SSU rRNA". It matches the Rfam family "Bacterial small subunit ribosomal RNA", at positions 336 to 658 of the family's 1533-position model. The record is from RNAcentral.
CGCCUACGGGACGCAGCAGUGGGGAAUAUUGCACAAUGGGGGAAACCCUGAUGCAGCGACGCCGCGUGAGCGAUGAAGUAUUUCGGUAUGUAAAGCUCUAUCAGCAGGGAAGAAAAUGACGGUACCUGACUAAGAAGCCCCGGCUAACUACGUGCCAGCAGCCGCGGUAAUACGUAGGGGGCAAGCGUUAUCCGGAUUUACUGGGUGUAAAGGGAGCGUAGACGGCGAUGCAAGCCAGAUGUGAAAGGCGGGGGCUCAACCCCCGGACUGCUCUGGAAACUGUACGGCUGGAGUGCAGGAGAGGG